UACCUAACCUGGCAGGGGAGAUACCAUGAUCACAAAAGUGUUUUGUUGUUGCUGUUAUUGUUUUGUGUGUGUUUGUGUGUGUUUUAUUUUGUUUUUUGUACAAGACUUAGCCAUUGCACUCCUGAUGUGCUGACCCCUGCCAUUUUCCCAAAUGUGGGAAACUAGACUGCAUAACUUGUGGUAGCAA
Molecule: small nuclear RNA, 187 nt
Filed under: Mus spicilegus (steppe mouse)
Lineage: Eukaryota; Metazoa; Chordata; Mammalia; Rodentia; Muridae
Description: U1 spliceosomal RNA (ENSMSIG00000029690.1)
Rfam family: U1 spliceosomal RNA
About the family: U1 is a small nuclear RNA (snRNA) component of the spliceosome (involved in pre-mRNA splicing). Its 5' end forms complementary base pairs with the 5' splice junction, thus defining the 5' donor site of an intron. There are significant differences in sequence and secondary structure between metazoan and yeast U1 snRNAs, the latter being much longer (568 nucleotides as compared to 164 nucleotides in human).
Source: RNAcentral